This is a long non-coding RNA of Lotus japonicus, 1389 nucleotides long. RefSeq lists it as uncharacterized. The record is from RefSeq and is a predicted model, not a curated record. The transcript is spliced from 3 exons. Lineage: Eukaryota; Viridiplantae; Streptophyta; Magnoliopsida; Fabales; Fabaceae.
GGUAUGAGUGAGCUUUGGGAAAAAAAAUAUUAAACGAAGAAAGAGAAUAGAGGUGCUGCACAUGAUGGUCAGAAAACAGGUUUUGGGACACUAAGCGAUGAUUUUAGAGCUUGCUUAGGGGACUUUACAACCGGUGGUUGCAGAGCAUGACUCACCAUCUUUUAGCAGCUUAUUCAUUGCUUUUAAUCACUAUAAAAAGGAAAUGGAGGCUGUGAAUUAUCACCACCACCAACAUCAAGCCGCUUCACUCUCUUUGCCCUCUUCAUUCUCUACUCUUUUUCUUUUCUCCAUCACCAUCCUUGCAUCUUUCUUCUCUGAACCUGUUUUGUGAGCUCCAUGAGCAUAGUUUGGAGCACCACCAUGGGAAGGAGGAAGUGACAGCCGCGAGCUCUCUCCCUCUCCCCUGUUUUCCGAUUACCUUUCCCGCCGCAAGAACCGUCGUGAACUUCAUCUUCGCCGGCGACUCUUCGCCGAAAAAUUUCCAGAACUUGAUUUUGGAUGCAAAGUGCAAGAAUGCGUUCGUGUCGGAGCUAAAGAUUUGGCAGAAAGCGAGCUGGUACGAGGAGCGAGGACAUGAUCAGAUCAGAUUCGCAGCUUAGAAAGGGAAGUGGCUAAGGUGAUGGACGACGGCAAGUUCAAGUACCAUGCUUUUGGGGAAGUCUUAGUGGUGUUGCUGAUGAGGAGGAUCCAUGAUGACGUGACAAGGUGUCAUGCCUUUGUAUCAGCUCGGUGAAGUGCAUCGUAAGUCGUUCGUGGGAUUGACUACAUGUCUGUUGACGCCAUAACCAUGUUGCAGAUCUUAUUAGAGAUCGGUCUUUCGACCGUCGAGGAGGAUCCUUCAGAGGAUGAGUAGAGUCUUGUGUAAGGCUUGAGCCUUUUGGGUAGAAAGCUUACCAUUGUUGGUUGAAGCUUGUAGAAUGAUCACAUGAGUUUGAAUUCUUUUGGGUUUUAGAGGAAGGGUAGGUUCCGAUAUUUUGCUAUUUCGUGUUCUACCCAGUGCGGAGAUCACAAGGAGCUUGUCGGGCAUAAGAAGUCUUUCAAUUUUUCUUUUGCAAACUUAUUUGUAUGCAUAUUUAUGGAUAUAAUGAUAUCUAUUAUUGGGUAAUUACUAUGCAUUAUCUAGAGCAUGUUUUGAAAAAAAAUAUACUUGCAUUUUUGGAACCUUGAAAGUUUAGUCGGCAUAUUUAGUUUUUGAAAAGGUUACUAAAGUGACCCUCGAGAAAUCGGGGUGUUACAGAAUCCAACUCAUCCAAUGGAUCUUCAUCUCCUUCUCCUUUUGUCACACCAAAAAUUUGCCAUAGAUCCAUUUCGUUACAUAUGCCUCCAGGAAUCAAAGCAACUCAUCACAUAGUUUGGUAUGGCUUGUGCCACCGAGUUUAGAAGAAUAUA